AGGCUCACCAAAUGGCACUCGAUCCGUAACUGGUCUGAGAGGAGUGAACAGUACGGCUCGAACUGACUGACACCGUCAGACUCCUACGGGAGGCAGCAGUGGGGAAUAUUGGACAAUGGCGUAAAGCCUGAUCCAGCCAUGCCGCGUGAUGUGACCAAGGUCUUCGGAUUGUAAAGCACUUUAAGUCGGUAGGAAGAGCAGUAAGUUAAUACCUUGCUGUCUUGACGUUACCAACACAAGUAAGCCACCGGCUAACUACGUGCCAGCAGCCGCGGUAAUACCAAGGGUGGCAAGCGUUAAUCGGAAUUACUGGCCGUAAAGCGCGCGUAAGUGGUUCGUUAAGUCGGAUGUGAAAGCCCCGGGCUCAACCUGGGAACGGUCAUCCAAAACUGGCGAGCUAGAGUACAGCAGAGGAUAGUGGAAUUUCAUGUGUAGCGCUGAAAUGCGUAGAUAUAUGAAGGAACACCAGUGGCAAAGGCGACCACCUGGGCUAAUACUGACACUGAGGUGCGAAAGCGUGAGGAGCAAACAGGAUUAGAUACCCUGGUAGUCCACGCCGUAAACGAUGUCGACUACCCGAUGGGAUCCUUGAGAUCUUAGUGGCGCACCUAACGCCAUUAAGUCGACCGCCUGGGGAGUACGGCCGCAAGGUUAAAAAUCAAAUGAAUUGACCGGAGCCCGCACAAGCGGUGCAGCAUGUGGUUUAAUUCUGAAGCAACGCGAAGAACCUUACCAGGCCUUGACAUGCAUAGACACUUUCCAGAGAUGGAGUGGUGCCUUCGGGAACUAUCACACCAGGUGCUGCAUGCCUGUCGUCACGUCGUGUCGUGACAUGCUGGGUGAAGAUCCCGUAACGAGCGCAACCCAUCGUCCUUAGCUACCAGCCACGUUAAGGCGGCCACUCUAAGGAGACCUGCCAGGGACCAAACCGGAGGCAAGGUGGAGAGGACGUCAAUUCAUCAUGCCACCUUAACGCCUUGGCCUUACACACGGUGCUACAAUGGUAGAUACAAAGGGCUCACCAAGCCGCGAGGUGGAGCCUAAUGCCCAUAAAACCCAACUCCUAGUAUCGGAUCCCAUUUUG
This 1084-nucleotide ribosomal RNA is filed under the name Stutzerimonas stutzeri. RNAcentral describes it as "bacterial SSU rRNA". It matches the Rfam family "Bacterial small subunit ribosomal RNA", at positions 261 to 1307 of the family's 1533-position model. Lineage: Bacteria; Pseudomonadati; Pseudomonadota; Gammaproteobacteria; Pseudomonadales; Pseudomonadaceae. The record is from RNAcentral.